This 1339-nucleotide small RNA is filed under the name Vigna angularis var. angularis. Its description in RNAcentral is "Non-protein coding transcript". Lineage: Eukaryota; Viridiplantae; Streptophyta; Magnoliopsida; Fabales; Fabaceae. The record is from RNAcentral.
CUGAUAAAAUACAUGCCCAUGUAAAAUAGGUUAUGCUGUUAAAAACACAUCGAUUGAUUUUCAAAUCCACUGUCAUUAUUGCUCAUUAUUCUCUAAAAUGCACCCUUUUAGAUAAGUCCAUUCCAUGAACAAACCAGUAUUUGGAGCAUCGGAAUAAACCCGGAAGAAGAGUGCACAUCCAUUUUACGUAUCAGAUUCAAAAACUCCAACCAAUCAAGACAGAAGUUCUUUCAAGAGUGAACAAACAAACUAGGGUCAUAGAUUAUCAUCACCAUAAAUUAUGCUAUGGACGUCAAGGACCGAAGUUUCACGAAUACACUAAAAUUCACUCUUGAAUUUGAAAUGCGAGUGAAAUUAUGCAUAAACAAAAGGGAAAAUCAAAUUACUUCUUCACGAAGACAGAAUGAAAACAUGAGAUAUAUAACAUGCCUUGUGAAAAGGAAUUCCUUACCGACGCGCAAGAAUAUCAUUACUUAAACACAGGGCCGAAGAACUAAAGGUUGGAAAGCAUUCUGUUAGAGGUAAAUAGGUUGUUAUAGGGAAAGGAAAAAAGGAGCACAACCACAAAAAAGAAUAACCUGCGCUUGCAAGGAUACUACAAUCUCAAUAAGAAUCUAUUUCAUAAACUUCUUAAAUAACUUGCUUACGAGAAAAAAUAAAUAAUCUUUUUCAAAAAGUAAAAUAUAUUUAUAUGGAAAUUAAAAGACAUAAGCAUUUUAACAAGUUUAAUUCUAAAAAAAUUCAAAUUAAUUAAUACGUAAACUAAUUAUAAAAUCUGAAAAAGAAUUCUAUAAAUGCUUACAGAAAAAUUUAUCAUACUGUAUCAUCAGUUUUGUUCGGAAGCAGACAAUUUCCGAAAAACAUAAUUGUUAUUUUAAAAAAAUUCUAAAAAUGUUGAAAACACUAGAUUGUGAGUUCAGAAUAAACUCAAUCAAACACUACAAGAAGUACUUUAGACUAGUUAAUCAACGCACAAGGAUAGAACAAUGAAAAGGAAAAUUAGCAGAGUAUUCUACAGAAGUAACCAGCAGCAAACAAUAAUGCAUUUUGUUCAGUACGGCUAAUAUAUCAGAUUUAUUUUUUCUAACCUUUCAUAGCAAAAUCACAAAUCAAAACAUUGGCUGCCAUCCACAACAUCUCUAUAGGCAUUCUCUAGGAAAAACACGAAAGGAACCAAUACAACAUCAUUUCAAAUCACACCGGAAACAUCUAGAUUUAAUUACUCUCCUGGAAAAAACAAAAACACUUUGAAAGAAAUGUUGAUACAGAGAAUUCGUCAGCGUUAUAUAGCUAACUAAUCUUGCGGCAUGAAAAAGGAGGAAGCAUCUAAAGAGUAUUA